AGCUCGGCCAUAAGGCCCGCAAUAGGACCACCUAUAGGUAUGCCUUUCUUCUGAAUAUAAUACUGGCCUCUAAACGUAAAGUAAGAUGUGUAAGUGAUGGUAUGGCAGAUAUCCCUUAUAAGGGUAGCACGAGUCGUAGCAUCCGGGAGAUGUUGGAAGAUAAAUCUAUACAGAGCAAUAUUCGCUGGGGCAUGCUCAAUCAAAGGGUAUAGAGAAUCGAAAUCAAGGAUGGCGUAUUUCUCAUCUGGGAAGGGGCCAUAUUCAAGGAGUUUGUCCAAAAACGCUAGAGGUGAGUCUACAGUAUAUUCAUAACCCUUUAGGUACGGGGCCGCCCAUCUAGCAAUGGCCUUUUCCAGGUU
Molecule: long non-coding RNA, 359 nt
Filed under: Androctonus crassicauda
Lineage: Eukaryota; Metazoa; Arthropoda; Arachnida; Scorpiones; Buthidae
Source: RNAcentral